AUGAGCAAGGCAGGACAGCUUCCCGAAAGCGGUGGCAUCAGACUGGGCCUGAAAGGGUCAGGUCACAGCCCCGGGCUCCAUCACUUGCUACCAGAGUGACCCAGAAGAGAAGACAGGAUGAGUCGAGAAUGCAACCAUCAGCACCUCCCAGGAGUUUGCCAGCCUGGCAAGGCAAAGACACCAAGACAGGGACCCAGCUCCAAAGUACUCGCGGACACUGUCCAGCAGGCGGGGGCCUUGGCUUACGCAGAGGCUGGGUGCUCCAUGGCAUGGUCCAGAAAGGGCACCAGGGCUUGCGACCAGCAGGCCCAGGUGGGGAGCAGUGGGAGGAGGACCUGCUCUGCUCGGGAGUUUCACAAGGCACAAACAUUCCAGGUCUGGCCCCUGCCUCAGCCUUUCAGGAAAUCCUGUCAUUCAGCCAGGACAUAUAUCCCACUCGGACCGAUUUGACCAAGACCUUGGACUCGACAUUCUUCCUGUCCUAGGCAGGGCCCAUCUCACCUCUGGCUCAAUCCAGGAAUAGGAAAGGAUUUAAAAGUAAACGCUGAAAUGAGAAAGAUCUCGCUGGGCAGUCAUCAAACGCCGUUACAAUAGACAGGGCUCUGGCAGGUGCCUGACACGGCAGAGGCUCAAGGCUUGCUCAACAUGCUGCGACGUUCAAUGAUGAUUUUGCUUGGGUUGGUUUUGCAAAGCUCCUGCUCUCUGGCUGAAACCUCAGGACAGGGAAACCGAUGUGAUAAGAAGUCUGCCCUGAUAAUUAGGACCAAGUGUCAGUCCUGCUUGCUUAAUUUGAGAGCCAAGUGCCCAGAUGGUUACAGGAAGAUCAGCAACUACACCAUGGGAGUUCGAGAUUGCAGGUUCACCUUUGAGACUAGAACAGACUCCCAGUCUUUCCCCGGAUGCCGCCACAUCUGCAGGAAGGAGUAUCUCCAACCAGAGUGCUGUCCUGGCCACUGGGGUCCAGACUGCAUGGAGUGCCCGGGAGGAGCGGGGACGCCGUGCAGUGGCCGGGGCAGCUGUGCAGAGGGCAUGGACGGAAAUGGAACCUGCGCCUGCCAAGAGGGGUUUGGAGGACUAGCCUGUGAAACCUGCACCCAUGGCAAUUUAUUUGGACCCAACUGUUCCUCAGUGUGUAAGUGUGUGCACGGCGUGUGCAACAGCGGACUCCAGGGUGACGGGACCUGUGAGUGCUACUCUGCCUACACCGGCCCCAGCUGUGACACACCUGUCCCUGAAUGUGCAGCCUUGCUCUGCCCAGAAAAUUCCAGAUGUUCACCUUUGAAAGAAGACAGAACCAAGCUAGGAUGCCGAUGCCUCCCCAAUUACAAAGGCGAUGGCAAAAACUGUGAACCCAUCAACCCAUGCUUACAACAACCCUGCCACCUUCACGCCCACUGUGCAUACCUGGGGCCAAACCAGCACAGCUGCACGUGCAGGGACAGCUACUUCGGGGAUGGCCGCGUGUGUCUCCCGCUGGAUCCCUGUCAGAUGGACCUCGGGAACUGCCCGCCCGCAUCCACGGAGUGCAAGUAUGAUGGGCCUGGACAGUCGCACUGUGAGUGUAAGCAGCAUUACCACAACUUCGUACCUGGAGUGGGCUGCAGCAUGGCCGACCUCUGUAAGUCCAAGAACCCGUGUCACAGGAAAGCAUACUGCACCAUGAUCGAGCCGGGCCAGCCCAGAUGCACUUGCCAGAAAGGUUACGUGGGCGACGGCUUCACAUGCUAUGGAAACAUCAUGGAGCGACUUCAAGAGCUCAACACUGCGCCCAGGGGGAAAUGGCAAGGAAGGCUGACCUCGUUCAUCUCACUCCUGGACAGAGUUUAUGCCUGGCCGCUAAGCACCCUGGGACCGUUCACCUUGCUGCUGCCCUUGGAAGAGGCACCAAACUCGAUCAAUGUGACGGAGCUGCUGAUGGACCCCAAGGCCGCUCGGUACUUUGUGAAGCUCCACAUCAUCGCGGGGCAGAUGAGCACGGAGCGAAUGAACAACACCAACACCUUCUACACCCUGACUGGGGCGUCCGGGAAGAUCUUCAACCAGGACAAGGACAAUCAAAUAAAGCUUGAACUUCAUAAAGGCAAAAAGAAGGUAAAAAUUAUAGAGGGGAACAUCGUUGCUUCCAACGGCCUCAUACACAUCCUCGACAGAGCCAUGGACAAGAUAGAACCCACCUUUAAGAGCAACUCCAAGGAAACCAUAUGUAUAGUGCUACCAUCAAGACACAAAAAGUUCUGCUCUUUGUUGGAGGUUGUCAACUUGAUAUAUGACUUAGAGGUGAGAGGUGUUGCUGGAUCAUACACCAUUUUUGUGCCAAGUAAUGAAGCACUGAACAACAUGAAGUACCGUGAUCUUCAUUACCUUCUUUCGCCACAGGGCACUUGGAUGCUUCUGGAACUCCUCAGAUACCACAUUAUCCCGUUUACCCAGCUGGAAGUGGCCACCCUUGUCUCCACCCGGCAAAUCACGACCAUGGCCAACCAGAUCGUAGAGUUCAACACCACCGACAGCGGACAGAUUCUGGUAAACGGCGUGCCCGUAGAAAACACUGAGGUCGCUGUCAAAAAUGGGCUCAUUUACACGCUGGCUGGAGUUCUCAUGCCGCCCUCCUUCCUCCACGUCCCGUCUAGCCCUAGCCGGUGCGACGACUCCAACAGUGAAAUGAGGCCGGGCUCUUGCGUGAACUGCUUGGUGGCGUUCGAGAGUAAAUGUCCCGCCGACUCCGAGCCCACAGCGGUCUUCACACACAGAUGCGUCUACAGCAGCAGCAGCAGCAAGGCCCCGAAGAGUGGCUGUGCCCGAUACUGCAAUGCCACUGUGAAGAUCCCACAGUGCUGCAGAGGCUUCUACGGGCCCGACUGCACCGAGUGUCCAGGAGGCGUCUUGAAUACAUGCUCAGGAAACGGCCAGUGUGUGGACGGCAUCCAUGGCAACGGGACGUGCAUUUGCAAGGAUGGCUUCUACGGCUCCGAGUGUCAGUUCUGCUCUGACCCCAAUAAGUACGGACAUAAGUGUGAAAAAAGAUGCCGGUGUGUCAAGGGGACCUGCAACAACAGGGUAGACAGCAACGGGGACUGCCUGCCUGACACCUGCCAAGACGGCACAUUUGGGCAUUUCUGCAAUUUCCGGGCCUUUCCCUGUGGCUACCUAGUGCCUGUCUGUGACGUCCGCUCCUUCUGCCAAUCGGAAAUUUACGGAGAAAGCUGCAUCUGCGAGGACGGCUACCUUUAUGACGGCUUUGGUUGCUACGAGCAGGACCCCUGUAGAGACCCAGACCGGGGAGGCUGCAGCCGCAACGCUGAAUGCAUCAAAACCGGCCCAGGGUCACACACCUGCGUGUGCCACCGAGGCUGGAUGGGCAGUGGCAGGGACUGCAAGGAGAUCAACCCCUGCCUGCUGCCCAGCAAGGGCGGCUGCCAUGGCAGUGCCACCUGUCUGUACGUGGGCCCGGGCCAGAACGAAUGUGAGUGUCAGAAAGGAUUUCGAGGAAAUGGGAUCGACUGCGAACCGAUAAUCUCAUGCUUGGAACAAACCGGGAAGUGUCACCCACUGGCAACCUGCCAAGCUGUGGCCCCUGGCGCCUGGAGCUGUGUUUGCCAGGAGGGCUACGAGGGGGACGGAGUCCUGUGCUACGGCGACGUGGCCACCGAGUUGUCAUUUCUCCCCGAAGCAGCUGCCUUUAACCAGUGGAUCAGUAAAGCGUCGCUGCAACCCCUGCUGUCCAGCACCUCCAACCUCACCGUCCUCGUGCCGUCCUGGCGAGCUAUUGAGGACAUGGACCGAGACGAGAAGAGCUUCUGGUUGUCAUGGAGCGAUCUCCCGGCCCUGAUAAAGUUCCACACCAUCCUAGGCACCUACGGUGUGGCAGAUCUGCAGAGCCUGACAUCCUCUGACAUGCUGGCCACGUCUCUACCAGGUGGCUUUCUUCACCUGGAAAAGGCAGAUGGGAACGUCACCAUCGGAGGAGCCUCCAUCGUCGAUGGUGACAAUGUGGCCACCAACGGCAUGAUUCACAUCAUCGACAAGGUGCUGGUCCCCCAAAGAGGUCUAAGUGGCUCCUUACCAAACCUGCUCACCCGGCUGAAUCAGAUGCCUGACUACUCCAUCUUCCGGGGCUACAUCAUUCAUUAUAAUCUGGCAAGUGCCAUUGAGGCUGCUGACUCUUACACCGUGUUUGCCCCGAACAACGCCGCCAUCGAGAAUUACAUCAAGGAGAAGAAGGUUGCCACUCUAGGGGAGGACACACUCCGCUAUCACGUGGUCCUGAAGGAGAAGCUCCUGAAGAGCGACCUGCACAACGGCAUGCACCGGGAGAGCAUCCUGGGGCCCUCCUACCACCUCGGCUUCUUUCUCCGAGAUCAGCAGCUCUAUGUAAACGAGGCUCCAAUAAACUACACCAAUGUGGCGACUGACAAGGGAGUGAUCCACGGCCUGGGGAAAGUUCUGGGAAUUCAGAAGAAUAGAUGUGAUAACAAUGAGACCACCGUUGUACGAGGAAAGUGUGGAAAGUGUCUCCAGCGCCCCAUCUGCCCACCUGGAACCAAACCACUAGGCAAUGAGAAGACCAAGUGCAUCUACAGUCUUUACUUCAUGGGGAAGCGCUCUGUGUUCAUCGGGUGCCGGCAGACGUGUGUGAGGACUGUCCUCACCCGCGAAUGCUGCGCCGGCUUCUUCGGGCCAGAGUGCCAGGCCUGCCCCGGCCAGCGCGGGAGCGCCUGCUUCGGGAACGGCGUCUGCAUGGACGGCGUCAACGGCACGGGCGCGUGCGAGUGCGGCCCCGGCUUCCACGGCACGGCCUGCGAGACCUGCGUGGACGCCAAGUACGGGGUGCACUGCGACCAAGCGUGUUCCUGCGUCCACGGGAGAUGCAGCCAGGGACCCUCGGGCGACGGCUCCUGCGACUGUGCCGUGGGCUGGCGGGGAGUGCGAUGCGACAGCGCCAUCACAGAGGACAGCUGCAACGGGACAUGCCACACCAGCGCCAACUGCCUUGUCAGCCCAGAUGGCACAGCCACGUGCAGAUGUGCAGCUGGAUUCCAAGGGAACGGGACCAUCUGCAAAGCCAUCAACCCCUGUGAGACCAGAAACGGAGGAUGCUCAUCCAAGGCAGACUGUAAAAGAACCACCCCAGGAAGCCGGAUGUGCGUGUGCAAGGCGGGCCACACUGGCGACGGCAUCGUGUGCCUUGAAAUCAACCCGUGUUUGGAGAACCACGGUGGCUGUCACCAGAAUGCCGAGUGCACACACACAGGACCCAACCAGGCUGCCUGCAACUGUUUGCCCACCUACAGUGGCGACGGGAAAGUCUGCACACUCAUCAACGUCUGCCUGAAGAAAAACGGCGGCUGCAGCCCCUACGCCAUCUGCAAUCACACUGGGACAGGCGAGAGGACUUGUACCUGCAAGCAGAACUACAUCGGGGACGGAUUCACCUGCCGGGGCUACAUCUAUGAGGAGCUCCCCAAGAACCCCCAAACAUCCCAGUACUUCUUCCAGCUGCAGGAGCACGGAGUUCGAGAGCUGGCAGGGCCGGGCCCCUUCACCGUGUUCGCGCCUUUGUCUGCAGCCUUCAGCGAGGACCCCCAGAUUAAAGACUGGCACAGCCAGGGCCUCAUGCCCCAGGUUCUCCGGUACCACGUGGUCGCCUGCCACCAGCUGCUUCUGGAAAACCUGAAACUGACCCCGAACGUUACUUCCCUCCAAGGAGAGGGGAUUGUCAUCUCCGUCUCUCAGGAUGCAGUGUAUAUAAAUAACCAGGCCAAGAUCAUAUCCGGCAACAUCAUCAACACUAACGGAGUCGUCCACAUCAUAGACAAAUUGCUGUCGCCGAGGAACUUGCUGGCCUCCCCCAGAGACUCCAUGGGAAGGAUUCUGCAAAACCUUACGACGGUGGCAGCAAAGCACGGCUACGGCCGGUUCAGCAAACUGUUGCAGGACUCGGGCUUGCUGAGCGUCAUCACCGACCCCAUCCACACGCCUGUCACUCUCUUCUGGCCCACGGACCGCGCCCUGCAAGCUCUCCCCCAGGAGCAGCGGGAUUUCCUGUUCAGCCCGGACAACGAGGACAAGCUGAAGGGGUAUCUGAAGUUCCACGUGAUCCGCGAUUCCAAGGUGUUAGCUGUGGAUCUCCCCAGAUCUGCUUCCUGGAAGACCUUGCAAGGCUCAGAGCUAAGUGUGAAGUGCGGAGCUGGCAGUGACAUUGGUGAGCUCUUCCUAAAUGGCCAGAUGUGCAGAAUCGUGCAGCGAGAACUCUUCUUCGACCUGGGCGUAGCCUACGGCAUCGACUGUCUGCUGACGGAUCCCAGCCUGGGAGGGCGCUGUGACAGCUUCAGUACUUUCAAUGUCCCGGGGGAUUGCGGAAGCUGCCUCAAUACCCCCAGGUGCCCAAGGUGGACCAAACCGAAGGGGGUGAAGCAGAAGUGCUCCUACAGGAUGAUGCCCUUCAGGAGCGUCCUGGAAGGCUGCCGGAAUGAGUGCACCCUGGUGAUCCAGCUGCCCAGGUGCUGCAAGGGCUACUUCCUGCCCGACUGCCAGGCCUGCCCCGGAGGACCCGACACCCCGUGCAGCAACCGAGGCAUCUGCCAAAAGGUGUACUCAGCCGAGGGACAGUGCCGCUGUGACAACGGCUUCAACGGGACAGCGUGCGAGCUGUGCUGGCCGGGGCGCUUCGGGCCGGACUGUCAGCCCUGCGGCUGCUCCGACCACGGCCAGUGCGAUGACGGCAUCUCGGGCUCCGGUCUCUGCCUCUGCGAGAGUGGAUGGACAGGCCACCUCUGCGACACACGCACAGCUGUGUCCCCAGUGUGCACGCCACCCUGUUCUGCUCAUGCCACCUGUAUGGAGAACAACACGUGUGAGUGUAACCUGAAUUACGAAGGGGAUGGAAUAACGUGCACAGUUGUGAAUUUUUGCAAACAGAACAAUGGGGGCUGUGCAAAGGUCGCCCAGUGCUCCCAGAAGGGCACCAAGGUCUCUUGCAACUGCCCAAAGGGCUACCAGGGGGAUGGCCACAGCUGCACGGAGAUAGACCCUUGCACGGAUGGCCUCAACGGGGGGUGUCACGAGCAUGCCACCUGCAAGAUGACUGGUCCGGGCAGGCACAAGUGUGAGUGUAAGAGCCACUACUCCGGGGACGGGCUGGCCUGUGAGCCCGAGCAGCUGCCCCUGGACCGCUGCCUUCAGAACAACGGGGACUGCGCUCCGGAUGCCGACUGUGUGGACCUCCACUUCCAGGACACCACCGCCGGGGUGUUCCACAGCCGCUCCCCACUGGGCCAGUACAAGCUGAACUUUGACCAAGCCAGCCUGGCCUGUGCCAAGGAAGCUGCAGUGAUGGCCACCUACACCCAGCUCUCCUAUGCCCAGAAGGCCGGCUAUCACCUCUGCUCGGCCGGCUGGCUGGACAGUGGGCACGUGGCCUACCCUACAGCCUAUGCCUCCCAGAAGUGUGGCGGGGGCACCGUGGGGAUCGUGAACUACGGCGUCAGAUCCAACAAGAGCGAGAUGUGGGAUGUCUUCUGCUACCGCAUGAAAGAUGUGAACUGCACCUGCAGGCCGGGCUACGUGGGAAACGGCGUCUCGUGCAAUGGGAAUCUGCUGCAGGUCUUGAUGUCCAACCCCUUGCUGAAGAACUUCCUGAAGGAGGUGCUGGCCUACUCCAACAGCUCAGCCCGAGGCCGGGUGUUCCUGAAGCACCUGACGGACCUGUCCAUCCACAGCACCCUCUUUGUGCCCCCCAACAAUGGGCUGUGGGAAAACGAGACCCUGUCGGGGCGGGACAUCGAGCACCACCUGGCCAGUGUCAGCGCCAUCUUUUACGAUGACUUUGUCAAUGGUACCACCCUGCGGACUAGGCUGGGAAGCCAGCUGCUUGUCACCGCCAGCCGUGACCAGCCCGACCUGAAGGAGAUCUGGUUCGUGGAUGGAAGAGCCAUUCUGGAGUGGGACAUCUUUGCCUCCAACGGAGUCAUCCACAUCAUUUCCAGGCCUUUAAAGGCGCCCCCUGCCCCAGUGACUUCGACUCAUGCUGGCUUGGGGACAGGGAUAUUCUUUGCCAUCAUCCUGGUCACUGGAUCGAUCGCUUUGGCUGUCUAUUCUUAUUUCCGGCUAAAUCGGAGAGCCAUUGGCUUCCGGCGUUUUGAGUCAGACGAGAAUGUGGACGUUGCUGCCCUCAGCAAGCAGCCUCCGGAGAACAUCUCGAACCCUGCGUACGAGAGCUGGAGCUCAGCGCCACCCCCGCCCCCCUGCGAGCCCCUCUCCGCUGAGCACCCUCAAGCCCAAAGAAAUAAUGUGCCUGGCUCACGUGGGUCUACAGUGCCUGUGGGAUUGACCAAAGCCAGAGAGCAGCUGACAUUGUUUAGUGCACACAGCGACGCUAUCCCCCCAAGACUGUGCUGUGGUUAAUUGAAUUUUUCUGUCUUCCUUCCCCAGGCCCUGUCUGCUCUGCGCAUGACUGACUCAUCUGAGACAGGAGCUGGACAGCAGUGACCCCCUGGGGGCCGGGACGCUGUGAGGCUCCCACGAGAGCAACCAGCUGUCAGCCACCGCAUCCCAGCCAUCGGAGCCUCGGAAGGCCCUCAACUGUGAAUCCUCAGAACCAGCAGCCUCGUGGAACGAAGAGACUCAGCAUUUCACAAGCUGAACCUCUCUGCAGUAAAGGACCAACUGCUAAGGGCACCAGCAGACGGUGCCCUCUGCCGAGUCCUUCCUCCCCACCUUUCAGAUGUCACUUAUUACAUCCCGCCAGCCGUGGGCAGCUGGAUCUCUCCCAGACAGGGCUUGCCCGCUCGCCUUUCUAUCCCAGCUCCCAGCCCUGGAAAUGUGCUCGGAAAUGUUUAUGCAACAGAAAUAAAAUCAACAAAACAUA
Heterocephalus glaber (naked mole-rat) is the source of this 8866-nucleotide RNA transcript. It is a transcript of the gene named stabilin 2, with no coding region annotated. NCBI's taxonomy places the organism in Eukaryota, Metazoa, Chordata, Mammalia, Rodentia, Bathyergidae. The record is from RefSeq and is a predicted model, not a curated record.